Non-coding RNA from Caenorhabditis elegans, 136 nucleotides. Lineage: Eukaryota; Metazoa; Nematoda; Chromadorea; Rhabditida; Rhabditidae. The record is from Ensembl.
UCAAGCACGGUUUUCCUCAGACGGGUAAACGGCAAUAGGAAAUCAUCACAGCCGUCACUCACUGCGCUGCACUUUGGAGUGUGUCGGCGCGGCGGCCGACACCUCCCGAGUUCCGCGGUGCGCUGUGUGUUGUGUG